Non-coding RNA from Ciborinia camelliae, 108 nucleotides. The record is from the annotation of a GenBank genome assembly. NCBI's taxonomy places the organism in Eukaryota, Fungi, Ascomycota, Leotiomycetes, Helotiales, Sclerotiniaceae.
GGGGCUGUAACUCAGUGGUAGAGUGCCUCGUUUGCAUCUUCAAGAUUAUCUUCCAGAUCCUCUUGAUAAACAUCGAUGAAGUCCAGGGUUCGACUCCCUGCCGCUCCA